AAGGCCCUUCGGGGUACUCGAGUGGCGAACGGGUGAGUAACACGUGGGUGAUCUGCCCUGCACUUUGGGAUAAGCCUGGGAAACUGGGUCUAAUACCGAAUAUGACCGCGCUCUUCAUGGGGUGUGGUGGAAAGCUUUUGCGGUGUGGGAUGGGCCCGCGGCCUAUCAGCUUGUUGGUGGGGUAAUGGCCUACCAAGGCGACGACGGGUAGCCGGCCUGAGAGGGUGACCGGCCACACUGGGACUGAGAUACGGCCCAGACUCCUACGGGAGGCAGCAGUGGGGAAUAUUGCACAAUGGGCGCAAGCCUGAUGCAGCGACGCCGCGUGAGGGAUGACGGCCUUCGGGUUGUAAACCUCUUUCAAUAGGGACGAAGCGCAAGUGACGGUACCUAUAGAAGAAGGACCGGCCAACUACGUGCCAGCAGCCGCGGUAAUACGUAGGGUCCGAGCGUUGUCCGGAAUUACUGGGCGUAAAGAGCUCGUAGGUGGUUUGUCGCGUUGUUCGUGAAAACUCACAGCUUAACUGUGGGCGUGCGGGCGAUACGGGCAGACUAGAGUACUGCAGGGGAGACUGGAAUUCCUGGUGUAGCGGUGGAAUGCGCAGAUAUCAGGAGGAACACCGGUGGCGAAGGCGGGUCUCUGGGCAGUAACUGACGCUGAGGAGCGAAAGCGUGGGGAGCGAACAGGAUUAGAUACCCUGGUAGUCCACGCCGUAAACGGUGGGUACUAGGUGUGGGUUUCCUUCCUUGGGAUCCGUGCCGUAGCUAACGCAUUAAGUACCCCGCCUGGGGAGUACGGCCGCAAGGCUAAAACUCAAAGGAAUUGACGGGGGGCCCGCACAAGCGGCGGAGCAUGUGGAUUAAUUCGAUGCAACGCGAAGAACCUUUACCUGGGUUUGACAUGCACAGGACGCCAGUAGAGAUAUUGGUUCCCUUGUGGCCUGUGUGCAGGUGGUGCAUGGCUGUCGUCAGCUCGUGUCGUGAGAUGU
This 989-nucleotide ribosomal RNA is filed under the name Mycolicibacterium porcinum. RNAcentral describes it as "bacterial SSU rRNA". It matches the Rfam family "Bacterial small subunit ribosomal RNA", at positions 72 to 1075 of the family's 1533-position model. Lineage: Bacteria; Bacillati; Actinomycetota; Actinomycetes; Mycobacteriales; Mycobacteriaceae. The record is from RNAcentral.